RNAcentral lists this ribosomal RNA (253 nucleotides) under uncultured bacterium. RNAcentral's name for it is "partial 16S ribosomal RNA". It matches the Rfam family "Bacterial small subunit ribosomal RNA", at positions 524 to 776 of the family's 1533-position model. The record is from RNAcentral.
GACGAACCACACAAACGUUAUUCGGAAUUACUGGGCUUAAAGGGUGCGUAGGCGGCGCGGCAAGUUGGGUGUGAAAUCCCUCGGCUCAACCGAGGAACUGCGCUCAAUACUACCGUGCUCGAGGGAGACAGAGGUGAGCGGAACUUAGGGUGGAGCGGUGAAAUGCGUUGAUAUCCUAAGGAACACCCGUGGCGAAAGCAGUGUCCUGGGGAGUACCUGACGCUCAGGUGCGAAAGCCAGGGGAGCGAACGGG